Non-coding RNA from Ameiurus melas (black bullhead), 73 nucleotides. NCBI's taxonomy places the organism in Eukaryota, Metazoa, Chordata, Actinopteri, Siluriformes, Ictaluridae. The record is from the annotation of a GenBank genome assembly.
GGCUCGGUGGCUUAGUGGUUAACAUAUUUUCUUCACACCUCUAGGGUUGGAGGUUCGAUUCCUUCCGCCGCCG